AAAUUGAAGAGUUUGAUCAUGGCUCAGAUUGAACGCUGGCGGCAGGCCUAACACAUGCAAGUCGAACGGUAACAGGAAGAAGCUUGCUUCUUUGCUGACGAGUGGCGGACGGGUGAGUAAUGUCUGGGAAACUGCCUGAUGGAGGGGGAUAACUACUGGAAACGGUAGCUAAUACCGCAUAACGUCGCAAGACCAAAGAGGGGGACCCUCGGGCCUCUUGCCAUCGGAUGUGCCCAGAUGGGAUUAGCUUGUUGGUGGGGUAACGGCUCACCAAGGCGACGAUCCCUAGCUGGUCUGAGAGGAUGACC
This 308-nucleotide ribosomal RNA is filed under the name Pseudomonas syringae pv. pisi. RNAcentral describes it as "bacterial SSU rRNA". It matches the Rfam family "Bacterial small subunit ribosomal RNA", at positions 1 to 305 of the family's 1533-position model. Lineage: Bacteria; Pseudomonadati; Pseudomonadota; Gammaproteobacteria; Pseudomonadales; Pseudomonadaceae. The record is from RNAcentral.